Molecule: ribosomal RNA, 638 nt
Filed under: Citrobacter amalonaticus
Lineage: Bacteria; Pseudomonadati; Pseudomonadota; Gammaproteobacteria; Enterobacterales; Enterobacteriaceae
Description: partial 23S ribosomal RNA
Rfam family: Bacterial large subunit ribosomal RNA
Source: RNAcentral
UGGCUGGUGUUCUAACGUGGGCCCGUAAUCCGGGUUGCGGACAGUGUCUGGUGGGUAGUUUGACUGGGGCGGUCUCCUCCUAAAGAGUAACGGAGGAGCACGAAGGUUAGCUAAUCCUGGUCGGACAUCAGGAGGUUAGUGCAAAGGCAUAAGCUAGCUUGACUGCGAGCGUGACGGCGCGAGCAGGUGCGAAAGCAGGUCUUAGUGAUCCGGUGGUUCUGAAUGGAAGGGCCAUCGCUCAACGGAUAAAAGGUACUCCGGGGAUAACAGGCUGAUACCGCCCAAGAGUUCAUAUCGACGGCGGUGUUUGGCACCUCGAUGUCGGCUCAUCACAUCCUGGGGCUGAAGUAGGUCCCAAGGGUAUGGCUGUUCGCCAUUUAAAGUGGUACGCGAGCUGGGUUUAGAACGUCGUGAGACAGUUCGGUCCCUAUCUGCCGUGGGCGCUGGAGAAUUGAGGGGGGCUGCUCCUAGUACGAGAGGACCGGAGUGGACGCAUCACUGGUGUUCGGGUUGUCAUGCCAAUGGCACUGCCCGGUAGCUAAAUGCGGAAGAGAUAAGUGCUGAAAGCAUCUAAGCACGAAACUUGCCCCGAGAUGAGUUCUCCCUGACCCUUUAAGGGUCCUGAAGGAACGUUGAAG